This 1346-nucleotide ribosomal RNA is filed under the name uncultured bacterium. RNAcentral describes it as "bacterial SSU rRNA". It matches the Rfam family "Bacterial small subunit ribosomal RNA", at positions 28 to 1381 of the family's 1533-position model. The record is from RNAcentral.
GACGAACGCUGGCGGCGUGCUUAACACAUGCAAGUCGAACGGAAAGGCCCUGCUUUUGUGGGGUGCUCGAGUGGCGAACGGGUGAGUAACACGUGAGUAACCUGCCCUUGACUUUGGGAUAACUUCAGGAAACUGGGGCUAAUACCGGAUAGGAGCUCCUGCUGCAUGGUGGGGGUUGGAAAGUUUCGGCGGUUGGGGAUGGACUCGCGGCUUAUCAGCUUGUUGGUGGGGUAGUGGCUUACCAAGGCUUUGACGGGUAGCCGGCCUGAGAGGGUGACCGGCCACAUUGGGACUGAGAUACGGCCCAGACUCCUACGGGAGGCAGCAGUGGGGAAUAUUGCACAAUGGGCGGAAGCCUGAUGCAGCAACGCCGCGUGCGGGAUGACGGCCUUCGGGUUGUAAACCGCUUUCGCCUGUGACGAAGCGUGAGUGACGGUAAUGGGUAAAGAAGCACCGGCUAACUACGUGCCAGCAGCCGCGGUGAUACGUAGGGUGCGAGCGUUGUCCGGAUUUAUUGGGCGUAAAGGGCUCGUAGGUGGUUGAUCGCGUCGGAAGUGUAAUCUUGGGGCUUAACCCUGAGCGUGCUUACGAUACGGGUUGACUUGAGGAAGGUAGGGGAGAAUGGAAUUCCUGGUGGAGCGGUGGAAUGCGCAGAUAUCAGGAGGAACACCAGUGGCGAAGGCGGUUCUCUGGGCCUUUCCUGACGCUGAGGAGCGAAAGCGUGGGGAGCGAACAGGCUUAGAUACCCUGGUAGUCCACGCUGUAAACGGUGGGUACUAGGUGUGGGGUCCAUUCCACGGGUUCCGUGCCGUAGCUAACGCUUUAAGUACCCCGCCUGGGGAGUACGGCCGCAAGGCUAAAACUCAAAGGAAUUGACGGGGCCCCGCACAAGCGGCGGAGCAUGCGGAUUAAUUCGAUGCAACGCGUAGAACCUUACCUGGGUUUGACAUGGAUCGGGAGUGCUCAGAGAUGGGUGUGCCUCUUUUGGGGUCGGUUCACAGGUGGUGCAUGCCUGUCGUCAGCUCGUGUCGUGAGAUGUUGGGUUAAGUCCCGCAACGAGCGCAACCCUUGUUCACUGUUGCCAGCACGUUAUGGUGGGGACUCAGUGGAGACCGCCGGGGUCAACUCGGAGGAAGGUGGGGAUGACGUCAAGUCCUCAUGCCCCUUAUGUCCAGGGCUUCACGCAUGCUACAAUGGCUGGUACAGAGAGUGGCGAGCCUGUGAGGGUGAGCGAAUCUCGGAAAGCCGGUCUCAGUUCGGAUUGGGGUCUGCAACUCGACCUCAUGAAGUCGGAGUCGCUAGUAAUCGCAGAUCAGCAACGCUGCGGUGAAUACGUUCCCGGGGCU